This is a long non-coding RNA of Acinonyx jubatus (cheetah), 1789 nucleotides long. RefSeq lists it as uncharacterized. The transcript is spliced from 4 exons. The record is from RefSeq and is a predicted model, not a curated record. NCBI's taxonomy places the organism in Eukaryota, Metazoa, Chordata, Mammalia, Carnivora, Felidae.
GUUCUUUGCGAGGCUUCUGAGUCAGAAGCCUGGACGGGCCAGCUGCAGUCUUAAUGAACUGACUCAGGAAGGAGGUGCUUACAGAGAUGGUGUACCGUGCAGUCAGUGGGUGGGAGCAAAUGUCGGCUAGAAAACCUGAGCCUUGUGAAGGGGCGGCCUGAUUCCCGGGGAAGAGCAUUGGCUGGAAGUCGGGAGGCCUGGGCUAGUCUCUGCUCUGCCACUAACUUGCUGCAUGACUUUGAGCCAGAAAAAGAGGGAUCACUCACCCAUUCUCCGUCAGAUACUAAGCUGCUGACUGCCUCAAGGAUGAACUUCUCUCCCUUGUCUUUCCAGGCUUGGCCAGAUAGGUAGAGAGCACAUGGACGAACAUUUACCGUGUCAGGCAUGGAGCAGAUUGCCUUAUAUAAUUUUCUCAUCUAAUUCUCAGGACCACCCUCUGAAGCAGGAACUAUUGUUACCUCUGCUUUAUAGACAAAGCGACCUAAGGAACCGAAAGCAUCCAGUUCAGCACCUGGCCCGCAGCAGACACUCAGUGAAUGUUGAUUUGAGCAAACGAACUAAUAGAAAGAAAUGUCUCCUGUAAUUGCUUCUUACCAAUCUAGCCAACAACGGCAGCAUUGUGGAUGGAGGCACCAGAGAACACAUCAUCUCUGGCUUUUUGCUGCAGAUCUACAUGGAGAAUCACACAUGGGGCAACAAAGAUUCUCAAGGCCAGAUCUCGCAGAAAUGUCUGAAAGGAAACUUUAAAAAAUGAAUACGUACGGGUUUUUUGUCGUUGUUGUUGUUGCAGCAUUGUCUAAUAUCAUAUGACUGGAAACAACCUAAAUGUUCGUCAAUAGGGAACUAGUUAAAUAAGUUAUGGUAUAUCAUCAUACAGUGGAAUACUAUGCAGUUGUAAAAAAAAAAAGAAAGAAAGAAAGAAUAAAGAAGCAUUUGCUGACAUGGAAUGAUCUCCAAAAUAUAUUGUUAAAUGAAAAAACAAAGAUGUAGAACAAUGUAUUGUAUACUACUGUGUGUAAAAUAAGGGUGGAGGAGAAUAUCUAUGUACUUGCUUGAAUGCACGUAAAGGCAUCUCUGCAAGAGAUCUAAGAGACUGACGACACUGGGUGACAAUGGAGGACUGGGAGAAAGCAGUGGACGGGAGACUUUACGUUGCACAUUCGUUCUCUUACGCCAUUUACCUUUGUAACCAUGUGAAUGUAUUACGUGUCCAAAAAUAAAUGUAAAAAGAACGAAAUCACAGCAACCAUGGGGAACAAGAAAAAGUGAAAUAAAUUUUGAGAAAUCCGAACAAGUAAGAAAGGCAAUGACUUUGGCCUAGCAGACAGAUGAGAGCAUUGCACUGCAAUGCAAGAACUUGGAGGCGAGAGUGGGUUUUCCCAAGGAAACAUCAAGCUCAGAGACAGUAAAUGCAAAGAGCAGGGGUAGGCCGAGAGGUAACCAUCAUGGUACCUCAUUAAAGAGCUGCGGCAGAAACAGCUGGGACAGGUGGGCUCUUUCCCCCUUCUCCCUCGUCCCCCAUGAACCCUUAGCAGCAGCAUUUGGCCUUUGCCCUCAGGCUAAAGUUGCCCCAGGAGGGCUCUGGGGAGGGUGCUAAGACCUCCACGAAAGACAGGAAAAAGAAAACAAAAGAAAAACCAGCAUCAGUCAAGAGUGAAACCCUCUACAGGGCUUCACCCCAGAGAAAAGCCCUCCCGGUUUCAUCGGUUGUGGGGGUCCCUGGCCUUCCUGCCUCUCCACCCACAUAACCUAAAGGGAAGCCUGCCUGUUGACAGGCUCCACCCACUGA